RNAcentral lists this ribosomal RNA (978 nucleotides) under uncultured bacterium. RNAcentral describes it as "bacterial SSU rRNA". It matches the Rfam family "Bacterial small subunit ribosomal RNA", at positions 404 to 1399 of the family's 1533-position model. The record is from RNAcentral.
AGAGAAGAUAUUUUUGUAUAUAUAAAUCUAUCUCCACAGAGGAGGAAAUGACGGUACCUGACUAAGAAGCACCGGCUAAAUACGUGCCAGCAGCCGCGGUAAUACGUAUGGUGCAAGCGUUAUCCGGAUUUACUGGGUGUAAAGGGAGCGCAGGCGGUUGUGCAAGUCUGAUGUGAAAGCCCGGGGCUCAACCCCGGUACUGCAUUGGAAACUAUGUAACUAGAGUGUCGGAGAGGUAAGUGGAAUUCCUAGUGUAGCGGUGAAAUGCGUAGAUAUUAGGAGGAACACCAGUGGCGAAGGCGGCUUACUGGACGAUCACUGACGUUGAGGCUCGAAAGCGUGGGGAGCAAACAGGAUUAGAUACCCUGGUAGUCCACGCCGUAAACGAUGAAUAAUAGGUGUCGGGGAGCAAAGCUCUUCGGUGCCGCCACCAAACGCAAUAAGUAGUCCCCCUGGGGAGUCGGUUGCCAGGAAGGAAAUUCAAAGAAAUGGCGGGGGACCCCCCCAACCGGGGGACCAGGUGGUUUAUUUGGAACCAACGGGAAGACCCUUACCAAUUCUGACCUUCCUUCUGCCCGGCAGUUAAUGGUCCUUCCCCUUCGGGCCAGAGGAGCCAGGUGGGCCAUGGUGUUGUUCACCUGGGUUGGGGAAAGGUGGGGUAAAUUCCCCCAAGGAGGCCACCCCCUUUCCUCAGUACCCACCAUUGAAGGUGGGCACUCUGGGGAGACUGCCAGGGAUAACCCGGAGGAAGGCGGGGAUGACGUCAAAUCAUCAUGCCCCUUAUGAUUUGGGCUACACACGUGCUACAAUGGCGUAAACAAAGGGAAGCAAAACUGUGAAACGGAGCAAAUCUCAAAAAUAACGUCCCAGUUCGGACUGUAGUCUGCAACCCGACUACACGAAGCUGGAAUCGCUAGUAAUCGCAGAUCAGAAUGCUGCGGUGAAUACGUUCCCGGGUCUUGCACUCACCGCCCGUCA